This 253-nucleotide ribosomal RNA is filed under the name uncultured bacterium. Its description in RNAcentral is "partial 16S ribosomal RNA". It matches the Rfam family "Bacterial small subunit ribosomal RNA", at positions 524 to 776 of the family's 1533-position model. The record is from RNAcentral.
UACGUAGGGGGCAAGCGUUGUCCGGAAUCAUUGGGCGUAAGGCGCGUGUAGGCGGCCAGAAAAGUCCGCUGUGAAAACUCGAGGCUCAACUUCGAGCUGUCGGUGGAAACUUUCUGGCUAGAGUCCGGAAGAGGAGAAUGGAAUUCCUGGUGUAGCGGUGAAAUGCGCAGAUAUCAGGGAGAACACCCGUGGCGAAGGCGGUUCUCUGGGACGGUACUGACGCUGAGACGCGAAAGCGUGGGGAGCGAACAGG